GGGUCGUUACAUCUUCCCCCUCUUAAAACAUUCAUUCAACCUCCAACGAACAUAGAGACGUACCUGAUGUAGUGAAAAGAUGAGGGUAACGACUGCGUAUAUCCUGCUAGAUCUCCUAUGUCGCCUCCUCGACCGGCUGAUUGCGUCACUGAACCUCUAUGGAUGCUAUUUCUUUGACCUUAGCUUCUGAAACUGCCGAUCCAAUAUCGCCACUUGCUCCUCAAUUUAAAUAGAUCCUAGUCCAACUAGACUGAACUGAAAUCCAACACGUCUG
This 274-nucleotide long non-coding RNA is filed under the name Nicotiana benthamiana. RNAcentral describes it as "long non-coding RNA (NBEN_LNC030588)". The record is from RNAcentral. Lineage: Eukaryota; Viridiplantae; Streptophyta; Magnoliopsida; Solanales; Solanaceae.